This 113-nucleotide ribosomal RNA is filed under the name Tursiops truncatus (common bottlenose dolphin). The record is from RNAcentral. Lineage: Eukaryota; Metazoa; Chordata; Mammalia; Artiodactyla; Delphinidae.
AUCUACAGCUAUACUACCCUGAACCCGCCUAAUCUCAUCUGAUCUUGGAAUUUACAAAAGGUCAGGCUGGUUAGUACUUGGAUGAGAGAUGCACAGGGCAUGGUGUGUGGGAA